RNAcentral lists this ribosomal RNA (433 nucleotides) under uncultured bacterium. RNAcentral's name for it is "partial 16S ribosomal RNA". It matches the Rfam family "Bacterial small subunit ribosomal RNA", at positions 29 to 507 of the family's 1533-position model. The record is from RNAcentral.
AACGAACGCUGGCGGCAUGCCUAACACAUGCAAGUCGAACGAGACCUUCGGGUCUUGUGGCGCACGGGUGAGUAACGCGUGGGAAUCUGCCCUUAGGUUCGGAAUAACUCCCCGAAAGGGGUGCUAAUACCGGAUAAUGUCUUCGGACCAAUGAUUUUUCGCCUUUGGAUGGGCCCGCGUUGGAUUAGCUAGUUGGUAGGGUAAAAGCCUAUCAAGGCGACGAUCCAUAGCUGGUCUGAGAGGAUGAUCAGCCACACUGGGACUGAGACACGGCCCAGACUCCUACGGGAGGCAGCAGUGGGGAAUAUUGGACAAUGGGCGCAGUCCUGAUCCAGCAAUGCCGCGUGAGUGAUGAAGUCCUUAGGGUUGUAAAGCUCUUUUACCCGGGAUGAUAAUGACAGUACCGGGAGAAUAAGCUCCGGCUAACUCCGUG